GAGUUUGAUCCUGGCUCAGGGUGAACGCUGGCGGCGUGCCUAAAACAUGCAAGUCGAACGGGAGCUUCGGCUCCAGUGGCAGACGGCUGAGUAACGCGUGGGUGAUCUACCAAGAAGUGGGGAAUAACUGCCCGAAAGGGUGGCUAAUACCGCAUGGCUCUCUCGUAUCGGUACGAGAGGGAAAGUCGCAAGACGCUUUUUGAGGAGCCCGCGUCCGAUUAGCUGGUUGGUGAGGUAACGGCUCACCAAGGCGACGAUCGGUACCUGGUCUGAGAGGAUGAUCAGGCAGACUGGGACUGAGAAACGGCCCAGACUCCUACGGGAGGCAGCAGUUAGGAAUUUUGGGCAAUGGGCGCAAGCCU
RNAcentral lists this ribosomal RNA (362 nucleotides) under uncultured Deinococci bacterium. RNAcentral's name for it is "bacterial SSU rRNA". It matches the Rfam family "Bacterial small subunit ribosomal RNA", at positions 9 to 384 of the family's 1533-position model. Lineage: Bacteria; Thermotogati; Deinococcota; Deinococci. The record is from RNAcentral.